CAGCAGCCGCGGUAAUACGGAGGGGGCUAGCGUUGUUCGGAAUUACUGGGCGCAAAGCGCACGUAGGCGGCUUUUUAAGUCAGAGGUGAAAGCCCGGGGCUCAACUCCGGAACCGCCUUUGAGACUGGGAGGCUUGAACGUCGGAGAGGUGAGUGGAAUUCCGAGUGUAGAGGUGAAAUUCGUAGAUAUUCGGAAGAACACCAGUGGCGAAGGCGGCUCACUGGACGACUGUUGACGCUGAGGUGCGAAAGCGUGGGGAGCAAACAGGAUUAGAUACCCCCGUAGUCCCUGUCUCUUAUAC
This 301-nucleotide ribosomal RNA is filed under the name uncultured bacterium. Its description in RNAcentral is "partial 16S ribosomal RNA". It matches the Rfam family "Bacterial small subunit ribosomal RNA", at positions 509 to 807 of the family's 1533-position model. The record is from RNAcentral.